Molecule: ribosomal RNA, 406 nt
Filed under: uncultured bacterium
Lineage: Bacteria
Description: partial 16S ribosomal RNA
Rfam family: Bacterial small subunit ribosomal RNA
Source: RNAcentral
AUUGAACGCUGGCGGCAGGCCUAACACAUGCAAGUCGAACGAGUGGCGGACGGGUGAGUAAUGUCUGGGAAACUGCCCGAUGGAGGGGGAUUACUACUGGAAACGGUAGCUAAUACCGCAUACCAUCGGAGGUGCCCAGAUGGGAUUAGCUAGGAGGUGGGGUAACGGCACACCUAGGCGACGAUCCCUAGCUGGUCUGAGAGGAUGACCAACCACACUGGAACUGAGACACGGUCCGAGCUCGUACGUGAGACGGCAAUGGGGAAUAUUGCACAAUGGUCGCAAGCCUAAUGCAGCCAUGCCGAGUGUAUGAAGAAGGCCUUCGGGUUGUAAAGAACUUUCAGCGAGGGGGCGUUACUCGCAGAAGAAGCACCGGCUAACUCCGUGCCAGCAGCCGCGGUAAUUC